RNAcentral lists this transfer RNA (18 nucleotides) under Canachus sp. CAN3. RNAcentral describes it as "partial tRNA-Leu". Lineage: Eukaryota; Metazoa; Arthropoda; Insecta; Phasmatodea; Phasmatidae. RNAcentral also lists the same sequence under 1 other name. The record is from RNAcentral.
GAAUAACUUUUAUUAGAA